Molecule: ribosomal RNA, 2010 nt
Filed under: Triticum aestivum (bread wheat)
Lineage: Eukaryota; Viridiplantae; Streptophyta; Magnoliopsida; Poales; Poaceae
Description: partial small subunit ribosomal RNA
Source: RNAcentral
AUGGAAACCCCGAAAUCAAUCCACCACGAGAGCGGUGAGGAGCGCCUCCGCCGGAUCCGCGCCAACCUCGGCCUCCUUGACCCGCCCGUGGCCCCGUCCGCCGCCCACGACGAAGGCCUCCGCGCCCGCGCCCUCGGCCUCCUCGACUUCGUCCGCCUCGACCUGUCCUCCUCCGGCGCCCCGCGCCCGGACCUCGUCGCCGAGCUCAUCGCCAACUACAAGCCGUCCCCGAAUCCCGGAUGGAGCUCCGUCCGUGGCCAAAAAAUCGAGGUCUCCAUCGAUUCAUUCGCCCAGGCGCUCCGCCUCCCAGGAAAACCUCUGUUCACUUACCCUUAUCCUGCCAGCGCCGUCGUGACCUCCGCCGCCGAAGAGUUCAUGAAGGUUUACAUCCUGGGGCCAAUAGAGUCUUCCACCGACAGGAAGCGCAGGCUGCCGCGGACGGUGGAUGAUGCAUUGAGGAAUUUGAAGGAUCUUCGGGCGCAUUGCAUUGACUGGGCAAAACUUAUCUGGGAACGAGUGCAGGAGGAGAUGCAACAACUGAUUGACAAUAAUAGGACCAGCACGGCAUGCUACUACGGUGCGUACCUGCAGAGGCUCAUCUGGGUGCAGAGCCAAAACCUCUUCCAGCUGCCACCAGAGCCGCCACUGGUAAAUGCACCACCCCAGCCAGCUGCAUUGUGCCCCCAGAAAAAAAGGCUAAAAAUCCGACUUCCGGUCAAUGAGAGCCAAAAGGUUGGCUCCCAAGCGAGUUCCGAGAAGAUUGAUGUGGGGCUAGAGAAGAUGAAUGCAACAUCCAAGGUGAUGAUAGAUGGGGCGUUAGAGAAGAUCGAUGCGGCGCUAGAGAAGAUGAAGGCAGCAUCCAAGGUGAUGAUAGAUGGGGCGUUAGAGAAGAUCGAUGCGGCAUCCAAGGUGAUGAUAGAUGCGGCAUCCAAGAUGAUUGAAGCCACAUCCAAGCAGCAUGACACUAGAGCUGGCGAGCAAGAUGGUGACAUGCAGGAGAUGCAGUCACUCGUCCAUACGCUGGUUACCAAGGAACGACAAAGCAAUGGCGAGUUGCAACGUGCUCGGAAAAUUCUGAUAGAUGAACUGCCGAAGUUUACAAAUGUGCAGGAACAUAUAGGCAUCAAAUGGAUGGGUGAGCUGGAUCUGAAAGCAUUUGCGAAUGCUUCUUGCAGCAAAAAUGUGCCACAAGAAGAUGCACAAGUGAACUCUGCUAUUCUUUGUUCAAAAUGGCAAGCUGAAAUCGCAAACCCGGGCUGGCAUCCUUUUAGGGUAGUCAUGGUUGAUGGUCAAGAGACGCAAAUUCUCUCAGAGGACGAUGACAAGCUACGCAGCUUAAAAGAGGAGCAUGGUGAGGAAAUCUACAGCUUGGUGACAAAGGGGCUGCUUGAGAUGAACGAGUACAACCCCAGCGGACGCUACGCCACACCGGAGCUGUGGAACCGUAAGGAUGACCGGAAAGCAACACUGGAGGAAGCCAUCCAGCAAGACAAUGAGAUGCAAGCAAUGAGAUCGCUCAACAAGACACUGGUUACCAAGGAAAUACAAAGCAACGAUGAGUUGCAGCAUGCCCGGAAGAUGCUCAUACAGCUUAUAACUUGCAACUUUGAGUCAUCAAUUUCUCAUAGGCUAGUAGCAUUCUAUAAUACAAAUACCGAGCGGGUUCAGUACAUGACAUCUGCCUUUGCAAACAUUCCCUUCUUUCUAGGAAAUCCUCUCGAUGACAAGCUUCGCGUCCUAAAAGAGGAGCAUGGUGAAGAAAUCUACAGCUUGGUGACAAAGGCGCUGCUCGAGAUCAACGAGUACAACCCCAGCGGACGCUACGUUGUACCUGAGGUGUGGAACUGCAAGAAUGACCGGAAGGCAACGCUGGAGGAAGGCAUCAAGUUCAUUGUCGAACAGUCCCAGUCACCCAAGAGGAACGUUGAGGCCCCAAAUAGUGAGUCUGGGGUGCCCUGCUUUUGCUUUGAUGAAACUGAUACGUGCCCCUUGAACUUUGACUUAUGGUAA